GGGGAAGAUCCAUAGCUCAGUGGUAAAACAUCUGCUUUGCUUACAGAAGGUCAAAGGUUCAAUCCCUGGCAUCUCCA
This is a non-coding RNA of Podarcis lilfordi (Lilford's wall lizard), 77 nucleotides long. The record is from the annotation of a GenBank genome assembly. Lineage: Eukaryota; Metazoa; Chordata; Lepidosauria; Squamata; Lacertidae.